RNAcentral lists this ribosomal RNA (351 nucleotides) under uncultured bacterium. Its description in RNAcentral is "bacterial SSU rRNA". It matches the Rfam family "Bacterial small subunit ribosomal RNA", at positions 28 to 377 of the family's 1533-position model. The record is from RNAcentral.
GACGAACGCUGACGGCGUGCUUAACACAUGCAAGUCGAGCGGUAAGGCCCUUUCGGGGGUACGACGAGCGGCGAACGGGUGAGUAACACGUGGGUGACCUGCCCUCCAGCUCUGGGAUAAGCCUGGGAAACCGGGUCUAAUACCGGAUAUGACUCCAUGACGCAUGUUGUGGGGUGGAAAGCCUUGUGCGGCUGAGGAUGGGCCCGCGGCCUAUCAGCUUGUUGGUGGGGUGAUGGCCUACCAAGGCGACGACGGGUAGCCGGCCUGAGAGGGCGACCGGCCACACUGGGACUGAGACACGGCCCAGACUCCUACGGGAGGGCAGCAGUGGGGAAUCUUGCGCAAUGGGCG